Molecule: ribosomal RNA, 252 nt
Filed under: uncultured bacterium
Lineage: Bacteria
Description: partial 16S ribosomal RNA
Rfam family: Bacterial small subunit ribosomal RNA
Source: RNAcentral
UACGUAGGGGGCAAGCGUUGUCCGGAAUCACUGGGCGUAAAGGGUGCGUAGGCGGGUUUUUAAGUCAGGGGUGAAAUCCUGGAGCUCAACUCCAGAACUGCCUUCGAUACUGGCGAUCUCGAGUUCGGGAGAGGUGAGUGGAACUGCGAGUGUAGAGGUGAAAUUCGUAGAUAUUCGCAAGAACACCAGUGGCGAAGGCGGCUCACUGGCCCGAUACUGACGCUGAGGUGCGAAAGCUGGGGAGCAAACAGU